This 272-nucleotide ribosomal RNA is filed under the name uncultured bacterium. RNAcentral's name for it is "partial 16S ribosomal RNA". It matches the Rfam family "Bacterial small subunit ribosomal RNA", at positions 524 to 794 of the family's 1533-position model. The record is from RNAcentral.
UACGAAGGGUGCAAGCGUUAAUCGGAAUUACUGGGCGUAAAGCGCACGUAGGCGGAUUGGAAAGUUGGGGGUGAAAUCCCCAGGGCUCAACCCUGGAACUGCCUCCAAAACUCCCAGUCUGGAGUUCGAGAGAGGUGAGUGGAAUUCCGAGUGUAGAGGUGAAAUUCGUAGAUAUUCGGAGGAACACCAGUGGCGAAGGCGACCACCUGGACUGAUACUGACGCUGAGGUGCGAAAGCGUGGGGAGCAAACAGGAUUAGAUACCCGCGUAGU